Sus scrofa (pig) is the source of this 7464-nucleotide non-coding RNA. Lineage: Eukaryota; Metazoa; Chordata; Mammalia; Artiodactyla; Suidae. The record is from RefSeq and is a predicted model, not a curated record.
UACACGAUGCCCUUGCUCCGUGUAAGAGCCGCUCUCCUUCCAGAGCGAGAGGGGCACGACCCGAAGGGAGGGAUUCCCUCCACGUGUACCCGGUACCCCAGACCCGAGGGUCUGGACUUGGGAGCGUGAACUCUCAACCCAAGUCUGCCCAGUCCCUCGGUCCCUCUCUGAAGCCCGGAAUCCCCGCUGUCCAGUGCCUCGGCCCUGGCUGGGGAGCGGGCGGUCGACUAGCCGGAAGGGUCGGGCGGAUGGAGCCUCGGAGCAGCCAGAGAGUGGUGUACGGCCCCGCGGAAGGUUUAGUCCCCGCCGCCCGUGUAGACCCGAGCGGCUGCAGCUUUCCGUGUGUCCGGAAACCUGAGAUCUCUACCUGGAGCUCUGGAGGCGAGACGGCUCCGUGCCUCGGCAGGGAUCGGAACGCAGGGCUCGAGCGACCACAGUUCUGGGUGUGAGACAGAGACCGAGGGAAAAGCAAAGCGUGCGGUUGAAGGGAGGGCGUGCUUGAAGGGGACUGGGAAAGAUCCUCUCUGGGUCCAAACGGAGCCUCCGGCUUGUGAGAACCCCUAGCCAGGUUCUAGAUUAAGGGCUGGGGGUGGGCCAUUUUGGCCCGGGGCCCUCCCUAUGAGCCCCUGGACGCUCGGAGCCCCUCACUCACCCAGGCCUCCCGCUCUCCCCAAAGCCCCCUUCAGCGUGUCUGUCUGAAAGGUGUACAAUUGGCCCUUCAAGAGGUGGGCGUGGGCUCGAUUAGCAUUUGCCAGGAGUCCCGCGUGUGGGAUUUGCAUACUGAUUUGCAUACAGUAAUAAUGAUUAACAACAGUGCCACUCCCUGGCAGAGCGGGGAAGAAUUCAGGGAAGGCCUUGGCAUUGCUUCCACCUUCCUCCUCCCUUCCCUCAGGGGAAGAGCUAAUUUUCUCCUUAUUGCUCUGACCCCUGGGAAUUCCUCUGACUCUGGGUGGGCAGGUGCAGGGAGGGGCAGUUUUCCCUCAGCCCUCGGGCCCCAAGUCCAACUUGGGAGAGGUAAACCCAGUACUUUAUUUCUGCCCAGCUUUGAACUCCCCGGCUUUCCCGUCUUUGUUUUGCAUCUUGUAGGUAGCUCAGGGGCGGACCCUGCCCUAGAGUGUGGAGGUUUCCAGGAACAGUUAGCUGGGGGCAUUUUCCUCCUCCAGUACCUCUAACGCACUCACACACUUGGCCCCAUUCCUCGCAGGCUCACAGCCCAUCAUGUAAGUGUAACCUACACUCUCCUUCCUGUUGAGAAGAUCUAGAGGAAAAUGGGAAAGACUUGAAUUUCUAGUCUAGGUCAGUGUGGUUUUAUUUACAAGCCCUUCUCACCACCAGGUGACCUGGAAAAUAAGAGAGCAAGUAAUAAGCAGAAGGGAGGUCCCUUGACUUAGCAGCUGAAGGAGCCGUUGCCCGCGGAUCUGCCCUCCCUCUAGCUCCCACCCUCUCUGGCAUCUUUCCCGCACUCCUGGCCUCGCCUUUCCCCUCUCUGCCUCUGGCCUGGCCUGGCCGGGAUUCUCACUUGUUUUCCCCCAUGACACGGCCGCUUUUCCUUUAACUCUGGGCUUCUAUUUAAAAAGCUAAUUUGGGAGCUUGUUCAUGCUCCCAAUUCAGAUAUUUUAAAUAGGAACUGGAAGUUGCCAGGGCACUAGAAUUCCUUCCCUUGCCACCGCCACAGCUAAGGCGUUUGUUCCUCAACUGGCCCUGGCCGUGUGCGCGUGUGGUGGAGGGAGCGCAAGCGAGCUCAGGAUAUAUUUCAGGCUCUCUUUUCUAUUUAAAGACGGUGCUCCUGUGGACGGCUGUGCUCUGUGUGUGUGUCCUUUCCAAGCUGUGCACACAUGAGGAUUCUUCUUUAGUCCCAUGGCUCUGGCCGCUAUUUGCAGAGCUUGUCACAGUGUGGACUGUGGGUCUAAGAGGCAGCCCAACUCCAAGUCUGUAGCCUCCAGGUUUGCUGACUUGCCGGGCCGGUGUGUCUGCGCAGGGAUUUCCCUGGGCUGCUCUGCUAGGCUUGCUUUUAGAAGCUGUGCCUCAGAAUGUCCAGAAAGGUUGCUUUUGCUGCUUGUGGCUGGUCUGCUUCAACAAUUUGCCCCUUGACGAGGCAGGAAUUUGGAGGGUGGCUGACUUUCUACAUUCUGGGUGCCGUGUAUCUUGGAGGUAAAAAAAAACAGACUUGGAACGCAGAUUGCCUAAAUUUAAACCUGCCUCUGCUAUUUACUGGCUCUGUGAUCUAUUUAACCUCUCUGUGCCUUGAUUACCUCAUCUCUAAAAUGGCAAUAAAUAGUACUGUCUACUUUAUAAGGCCUUGUGGAGAAAAAUAAUUAUCGCAGGUAAAGCACUUAGAACAAUGCCUGGAACAUAGGAAGUACAGUGUAAUUGCUGGUUGUCCCUGGAGUUCAAGGCAAGAGUGGUGGGAGCAGGAAGUGUGAAAUCUGCCUGGGCAGGAAGGUGGAACCGCUGGACCGUACCCACAGACACAGGCAGACACACAUUUCCUUGCAUGUAAUAGUAACAAUGCCAGGCCACAGCCCAUAAUGGGUCAAGUUCCCUGGUUGAGGUGGUUGAUUCCUUAAGCCCCCAAAGGGGGAGACCUCUGCUGAUGAAUAGAGGAAGAGCCACAGGACUGGGGUUAAAGAAGGGGCUGGACCAUGUCAGACAGAGGCCUGUGGGGCAUUUCCUGAGGGCCUGUUUUAUGCAGGAGGAGUAAAUAAGGACCCUAGAUCCCCACAUGGCCCCAGCUUCCCUUCUUUCCCUAAAUAUGUAGAGUAAGGCUUUAUGGAAGCGGAGCUGCAGUGGGGGCUGAGUAGGGGCGGCCCUUCAUUCUCACUGAGCCUCCCUCCCCUUGGGCUUGGGGUUCUCUGGCUUUGAUCCCGCCAUUGCCACCUACCCCUUAUUCCCACAGCUGGGCAUAUGAGCGUUUACUCAGUGGCCAUCAGAGUUUAUUUUGCCUCUGUCCCCCAGCAUUGAAUUAAGGUACAGAGAGCUUUAGCGGCUUCCCCAAGGUGUUGCAGUGGGCGAUUCAGGAAGCCGCUAACAGGAGGGGGCGCUCUAAAGGACCAAACAUAGGAAGGCUCCAGGGGAGCCAAGGCAGCUUGGCAGGUCUUUGGAUUGUAUCAGGCUUAACAUAGCCACCUGAGGGUGAGGUGCCGCCAUAGUCUGACUCCUUGCUGGGUCUCCAUGACCCUGUCCGCACCACCAUUUUGUAGACAGAAAAACCAACGGUGCUUCAUGCAUCCCAGGCCAAACAUCUGGAGUGAACGCUCCCUUUUGACAACCCCCCCCCCCCACCAACAAGCUGCUGGAGUUCUGCUCUUUUGAGAGUAGAGUGGCCGCCUCAGUCAGAUAGAGGGUCUGCCCUAAGACCCUCUUGACCUGGCUCUGUUGGCCUCUCCUUUGGUUGGCCUCUGGAGGUUGGGCAUGGGGUCAGGGCUUAUUGUGUCCGGCUGGGGCUGUACCUUCUGAGUUUCCUCCAGGGUGAAGUCUUCCUGAGGAGCCCAAAGCUUGCUGGUGCCUGGGCUGCCUCUUAUUUCCCAAGGUGAGGAGGUUGGUGGUAGAGUUCACGCUGAGGUGCUCUGCCCAGUCUCAGGGGCCAGGGGUGCAUCUGUGGGGAUCAGCCCAGAUUGUCCAGCGUGGCCAGGCCAGAAUGUACCGUCCAACACUGGUGGCCCUGAUGGCUGGACACCCACAACCAUCAGAUGCUUUGGUCCUUCCUGAGGGAGUGGAGGAAGCUUCCCUUCCUGCAGCACUAACCCCAUUUGGAGGGCCAACCGUUGUCUGAGUGGUCAUUGCACUAACCAAAAUGUUUAGACUAGUGAUGGCAAAUGAGAAGUUGUUAAAGAAGGCUCUGCAAGCAAACCCUUCCAGGGGACCUGCUCCAGCCAGGCAGAUCCCUGGGGACCGGGUGGGGGGCCUUACAGGUGAAGGCAGGGGGUGUUCCCUUCGUCAGGACUUCCCUCAUUGGGAGAUGUCAGGCGAGGGAAGAGGAGGGAAGGGGAGCAGGAGAGCAGGUAUGACAAGGGGAACACAGGCACUGGAAGGAAAAAAGUACUAUUUAUCUGUUCAGUUUUUUGCUAGUGAUAAUUUGGAGGAAGGUUGGUGGAGGCCGAAGGUGCAGAUCAUAGGUGCUAUGAUUGCUCUGCUCUCCCCUGGAGGCUCUUUUUGUUUGCACACUGAUAUUUCCUGGGGCUCUGUCCUUUGUCUUCUCUGCUUCUCCAUCUGCCCCUUUCCCUGGAAAGUUGAGGGGAGCCCUUGGUUUCAAGCUCAUUCAGGUGUUGACUGUUCCUUCCUGAGUGCACCCUAACUCCUAGCCAUCUCCUGGCAUCUUCAUCCUUGUACACAGGCACCCCUUUGCUUCAUCUUACCUCUCCCCUUCAACCUUCUCCAACAGAUCGUUUCCUGUAAAACCCUGUUCUCAUUGUGUCAUCUCCUGUACUUCCUUUGUCGCUUUACCUUCUUCCAUGGUCACACAUUCCCUUCUUUCCAGCAGGCAGACUUUUCUCUGCUACUUGACCAGAUCACAUCAUUUCUCGCCUUCAUGCCUUUGUACAUGCUAUACCAUCUUCCAGAAAUGCCCUCCAUCACUUCCUAUUUCCUUCUCUUUUCCUAGCAAAUUUCCACUCAGCCCCGGACCUUCAAUACCCAGCCCAAAGGUCACAUAAGACAUAUUGGUAAAUUUCAGUGUCACACCCGAGGAGGAUUAACUAUUACCCACUUGGGCUCCCACAGUUCUUCCUGCAUGCCUCAGAGAGUUCUUAUUACCUUAUUACCUUGGUUUUUUGCAUGGCAGCCCCCAUCUCUGGUUUUAAGCCAUUUAAGGAAGGACCACAUCUUAGACACUUCUGAAUGUUCUAACUCAGGGCUCGGUGCAAUGUGGAUGCUCAAUAACUUUGCAUUAGGAAUUUAUUUUAACUUUCAUUUGCAUGGCUCCCUUGAUGGUGUGUAACUGAGGAAUACGUGGUAAAUUUGUCAACUGAUCAGUCUCAAGGUCCUAUCUGAUUGAAUGGAAGCACUGUCAUGAGUUCAGAGAGGAAGGAUGAGGGUUUCAAUUUUUGGCUGAUCCCAGGUGAAAAAAGGCCCAAAGCCCCUCUCCUCCAACCUUUCCAGAUCUACAAAGAAAACCUCAGUCGAUGCUGCCUGCAGAGACCUGGCCAGUGUUCUGCUCUUGAAUCAGUUUGGUUUCUAGGGAACUCUUUUCUUUCCUUUCUGGCAGAAUGUCAAUCACUUCCCCAGAAUAUCACCUCCUUGGGAACAGCCAGGAUGCAGUUGGUGGAAAUGUACCUGGGCUGCUGGCAGCUGUGACUGUGCUCACCAUAAAACCCAGCGACAGGGCCCAUCAAAAACAUGUUAGCCAAAACCUAGGCUUGGCACAAAGAGAUGCCAAGACCAAAGCUUGCUGGACUUUUAAGUAUAAAAUUAUGUGUAAGCCACAUCAGGAAACCUGUGACAGUGGAGGCUUAGUGGUGAGAACAUGGGCUCAGGACAGAUCUGGCUUUAAAUCUUGACUCUACAAGCUGUGUGACUUUGGGCAAGUUACUUUACUUCUCUGAUCUUCAGUUACCUCACCUAUAAAAUGAAUUAUAGUGAUGGUCUUGACUCAUAGGGUUCAUGAGGAUUGAAUUAGAUAAUGCACAUAACGUUUCAUAUGUAUUUAUAAAUAAAAACAUUGGCCAUUAAAUCAUUUUGUAACUGACCUUAAAAGUGUUUGAAACUAGCUCUUUUAAGUCAAAGGCAGAGUGCUUGUUCAUGAAGAAGUUCAGAUAGGUCACUCGAGGUCUUUCCAUGUGGUUAUUCUCAUACCAAGGGAAAUGUGUGAGAUCAGAGAAAUUUGUGUCUAGACACCUUUUUUUCUAUUGGCUCCUCUCUCCAUUCUGUGGCACCCAUGUCUGCAGCCUUGAACUUCAAGGGCCCAUUUCUCUCCAUUCCCUCCUCAUCAGCAAGAACUGAUAAAUCAUUUAAACUAUCCUGCCUAGAGAUAUGGUAUUCACAUUUUAACAGGAUAAUGAAAGCCAAGGCCAUGAAAUAGAGCGGGUGGGAUUUCAUGCAUCCAAUGGAGAAACAAGGAAGGGGUGCUUUUUUAAAAUUUAUUUUAUUGACAUAUAUUUGUUUUACAAUGUUGUGUUAAUUUCUGCUGUAUAGCAAAGAAUAUAUAUAUAUUCUUUUUCAUAUUCUUUUCCAUUAUGGCUUAUCACAGGAUAUUGAACAUAAUUUUUCUGUGCUGUAUGCUGCGUGAGGUCUGACCAUCACUGGUGCUCAAAAAUGCUUGUGGAAAGAACUAGCACAUCCCUGAGGUAGCCCAGACACUCCUUCUCUGGCCCCGGGAAAAGGUUCUUUGAAUCACCGAAGAGGAUCAUCUCUGCCUUCUUUGGACACAUGGCAAAUAAAACCCACACACUCACGAGAUGAGAGUUCCAGCUUUAGGGAAGGCAACAGUUCUUUUGGGCUGAAGAUCACAGACUUGUUUAUCAUCUUCGGGGGUAAAAUGAACAGGUGCAUGAGACCCUCCAGGGUUCUGUCCUUCCUGAGAUUCUCCAGGUUGACCACAGCUGGCUGACCACAGCUGGCAGGCCCGCAUAAAAUCCCCAGAGAACAAGGCCGUUGGUCAUUGGCCUGGCAGCCCAUACAGUUCCUCUGGGUUUCUGACUGGCUUCUGGAGCAGGAGGGGACUGACCACUAUGACCCAGCUUGUCAGCCUCCUGGGAAUCUUCUCUGCCUGCCUUAGACUGGUGCCUCGACCUGGAAAAGUGCUCAUAGCAGAGAAAUGGACAAGGGCCAGAAGGAGCAGGAAUUGUCAUCACAUCCUCAUCAUCAUGAAAUUGAUACCGAUAGCAAUGAUGCAGUGGCAACAGACUCUUGCCUGGCAUUUAAUAAGUGCUACUCACUAUGCUAACGCCUUAUAAGCAUUCUUCUUUUUUUUUUUUUUCCAGUCCUUACAGCACUCUUAUGAGCAGCUACUGUCAUCCCCAUUUAUCAGAUGAAAAAAACCAAGGCACAGAAAAUCUUCAGCAAUUUGCUCAAGAUCAUUAGUUGAGUUGGGAUUUAACACCAAAGAAUCUGACUCCAGAGCUCCUAGCCUUCAAUGUUACUCCAUGGAGAGGUGCAGAAGGCCAGCUGGUACCCUGCCCAUCCAUGGAAGGACACGGUAGAAAAUGAGAGGCCAGCAGAAGGCCAGCACCUGUUCAGUGCUCUAACCCCCGCCCCCACCCAGGUCUCUCCAGCUCCCAGCAGGGAAGACCACCUGCUCCUCGGCAGGUUGGAGUGCUGAGGAGUCCCAGAAAGUGCAGAUGGGGGGGGGUGUUGGGUAGACGAGCUGGGGUGCCCCUUCCCCUAACCCUGCCCUGGUCUCACAAAUAACGGCCUUUGGAUUACUGCCUGUGUUGGAUGCCUGGAUCACUGCUGUCUGGAGUCUAAUCUCCAUUCUGGUGGUUUUGGUUGCUAUGGUAAUUGAAUUCACUUAAAGUUGUCUCCAAGCUA